CUUUGAGGCAUCUGAUCCAUCAGGUUAAUAAUUGCUGGGCGGAUUCUUAAUUAAUUACAAGUGUUAAGUAACUCCACGCGCCGUGUCAGAGUUCAACGACCCUACGACCGGCGGCCUGUGGUUUAGAAUGAGACGCAGUGGAACGUUUCCUCUGAAAAAGGAGCAGGUGGAAAUCAUUUUAACGUUAAUUUAACUGGCGGCGCGUCACCGAUAACAAACCAGUACAGCGCGGGUUAUGUCCAACUUUGUGCUUUUAUUGACUUAAUUUCCAACAGUUUGUAUUAAUUGCUGAGCCAGUGACCUCGCUGGCUGGAAGAGGACUCCUACAGGAUCAUCUGUCAAUCAGAAACUGCACAUGACGCACAGAGGAAUGAGUAGCUCAAGAGGUAUCUGCUCUGCACCAGAAUGUCUUGGGUCGGCAUACUGGAAUACUUUACGGCUGGUAUUGACUUUAUAUCUCGCUUUUGCUUCGUGCUUUUGCUGUAGUAGUAGCUGGCAAGCGUAGAAAUCCAGUCAGCUUAAAUAAAUGCAUUAGUACUCAACAAAGACGUCAGGACUGCCAUUUACUUUUCAUGCCAAACCCAUGCAGGCUCAUUUCAGUAGAGGUCUGACUUGUAACUGCUUGGCCAUCCUCAAAGUUCAUAUUUUUAUGAAACCAUAAUUCAGGACAGACCAGUCGUGUUCGGUAAAACGUUUAUCUCGG
Molecule: long non-coding RNA, 703 nt
Organism: Gasterosteus aculeatus aculeatus (three-spined stickleback)
Lineage: Eukaryota; Metazoa; Chordata; Actinopteri; Perciformes; Gasterosteidae
Source: Ensembl